GCAUCACACAGGUUGGAGUCAAUUUCCAGUUAAAGCAACAAAAAUAUAACUAAAGGCCCAACACUAUAUCAACUAGGCUUACAUAGAAGCCAAUAAAACACCUUUAGUACACAAAACAGAGCUACUUCCCCAACUAGCUUGGGCAAGCAACGGAAUUUUGAACCAUUAUAAACUGACCAAAGUAUGAACCAGUUGCAUGCUCAGCGUGAAUUCUUGCCGGUGCUGUCCAUAUCAAGAAUUUUCAAUCAAUCUAAGCUAUUUACAUUUUUUAAAGUAUAUCUGAAAGGCUUAAAAUAGUGGAAUCAAAUGUUCCAAUCAAGUACAAUGGAAUACCUGAACAUCUUCCUAAAAUAAUAACAAAGAAAAAAACAUAGUAGUACUUGUAAGUAGUAACAUGCUCAACCGACAUCAAAGUACUAUUCAAUUCGAAUCCGACAGUUGUAGAAUGCCUAAACAGCAACGGCCAAAAGAGGCUGCAAGUAAUAACAACCAUAAGAUAUGGCAACAACCAAGAAUAAAAUGAGCUAGAAAAGGAAGUUAUAUUUUCCAAACACACCAGAUCACCAAGUGUAUGAUCUCGUAUUUGAGCGACAGAAUGCUUUUUUGUAGGUUUCUGGCCCGAGGUCAUGAUCAAAGUGGUGAUAGUUGAACAUAAAAAAAAAGAAUAAGGGAAAAAAAAACUAACCUUUUUAAAUUUGUAUUCCUUCCAUAAAGUAUCUGGUUAAGUGAUGACAGCUGAACAUAAAAAAAAAGAAUAAAAUAAGACUAAAUAUAAUGAAAAAAUUAUAAAUUAAUAGCAGAAUUAGAAGACUACUAGUUAAACUUUCUCGGAUGCUCCUGCCAACAAAUCUCAUUUGUGAGCUUUAUACUCGGCAACAAAAUCUCGUAAUGUUGACAGAAAAGAUCAUAAAUAUCCGUGAGAGAGUUAACCUACAAAAAUAUGAAUCAUUUUCCACACUACUCGUGUUCAUCUAACAUGUUCAAGUCCCUACUCCUUUACAAACUGCUAAACAUACUUCUCUUAACACUCAAUCAAUGAUUACUAGAGAUAAAGCUGGGAUUUCAAAACAAAAAAUAUGCAAUUCUGCUUACCUUGAUAUUGACUUAACACAAGAAAUUCCUAAAACCGUCAAACAGGCUGUUAAUUGCCCACACUGGUUCAAGACAAUGCAGGACGAGUAUGAUGUUUUGAUUAAAAAUAACACAUGGACUCUUGUUGAUCCUCCAUCCAAUGUACCAUCAUUGGUUGCAAAUGGGUGUUUGCAAUCAAAAGAGCUCCUGAUAAUUCUAUAAUUAGAUACAAAGCAAGGCUUGUAGGAAAGGGCUUUCAUCAAUAGGGAGGGAUUGACUAUAAUCAGAUUUUUAGCCCUGUGAUUUGGCCCUCUACUAUUAGAUUAGUUUUAAAUAAUAAAUAAAUUAUAAUUAAACACCCUGAAAUAUAAUUAUAGUUUAAUAUAAAUCUUAAAAUAUCAAAAGUACAUCAGCAACCUUAAAACAGCAACACCAGUAUAUUAUCGAACAGCAACAAUGAAACAGCAACACAUUAUAAAACACUAAAACAGCAACAUCAGUACAUUAUCAAAACACUAAAACAGCAACACUAGUACAUUAGCAACACCAUUCAGCAAAGCAGUGAUGACACUAAACUAAACACUAAAAACAGCAAAAUCAGUAUAUUAUACAACAUAUCAAAAGUUCAAAACAGAACAUUCAGUAACCAAGCAUUAGCAUUAGCAAGAAAAUGAUGACACUAAAUUAAACACUAAAAAUAGCAAAAUCAGUAAAUUAUAUAACAUCAAAAGUUCAAAACAGAGCAUUCAGUAACCAAGCAUUAGCAUUAGCAAGGGAAUGAUGACACUAAAUUAAAUAGAACAUUAGCAAGGAAGUGAUGACACUAAAACACUAAAAACAAUAAAAUCAGUACAUUAUACAACAUAUCAAAAGUUCAAAACAGAGUAUUCAGUAACCAAACAUUAGCAUUAGCAAAGCAGUGAUGACACUAAAUUAAAUAAGCAAAUUAUUUUUUCAAUGAAUAAAAAGAACAACUAAUUAUGGAAGAGAAAAAAAAGCAUGAAUAUAUGAUUACUGAUAAGAAGAAAUUGUGAUAGAUGAGUGAUUGUUGAAAGAGAAAAGAGAGUGAAUAGGAGCAGAGCAGCAUUAUAAUUGAGCUUUAGGUUAAGCAAACCCAUGAUGCUGUUCCAGAAUUCAAGAGAAAGAGGAGAUUCCAUUAAGAUUACACAACAACUCAGCAACACAUCACUAAUCAAUAAUCAUAAUACAUUCAAAAUCAAUAAUCAGUAAAUUAAAAUCACAAGUUCAAAGAUAGUCUUAAUUCUUGAUCUAAUUUUAAUCUGAAAAUGCUAUUGUGGGGCAAAAUACAUAC
RNAcentral lists this long non-coding RNA (2383 nucleotides) under Arachis ipaensis. RNAcentral's name for it is "long non-coding RNA (AIPA_LNC001619)". Lineage: Eukaryota; Viridiplantae; Streptophyta; Magnoliopsida; Fabales; Fabaceae. The record is from RNAcentral.